This is a ribosomal RNA of Cavia porcellus (domestic guinea pig), 113 nucleotides long. NCBI's taxonomy places the organism in Eukaryota, Metazoa, Chordata, Mammalia, Rodentia, Caviidae. The record is from Ensembl.
GUCUACAGCCAUACCACCCUGAACGCAUCUGAUCUCGGAAGCUAAACAGGGUCGGGCCUGGUUAGUACUUGGAUGGGAGAACAACUUCUAGGAGGGCAAAGAAGCAAUAGCAA